Molecule: RNA transcript, 2637 nt
Organism: Ananas comosus (pineapple)
Lineage: Eukaryota; Viridiplantae; Streptophyta; Magnoliopsida; Poales; Bromeliaceae
Gene name: cyclin-SDS-like
Exons: 9
Source: RefSeq, a predicted model, not a curated record
GAGAUAGAGAGAGAGAGAGAGAGAGAGAGAGAGCUUCUUCCCACUACGCUCUUUCCACUCCACUCAUCCUCUUCCUCCUCCCUCAUUUCUUACCCUCCCCGAACCUACGAAACCCUAGUUUCCCCAAUACCGAGCUUCAGAUCCCGUCAUACCCUCCCUCUCUCCGAUGGUCGCCGCCGACCCCGAUCUCGUCUCCCUCCGCCGGAUCGUACCCUCCACUGCUCGGAAGCUGCGGUCCAAGCUCCCUCGGCGUAGGCGCUUCCCGAUCCUCCCAAUCAUCGAUAGCGCCUCCGGUGCUCUUGGUGCUGCGGCGGCGGCGGAGUCCUCCUCCUCCUGCCUCUGCAGCGAGAUCUCCGGCGGCGGUUUCCGGCGAGUCACCAGAUCCUUCUCGAAGCGUCAGGCGACGCUCCGAUCCAAGGAGAGCAAGGGCGAUGGUAGCCGAGGAAUCGGAAUGAUCCCGCAUUGUUACGAGAAAGAGGCGAAGAGACCGAGAAGAGAGGAGUCCACGGCGAAUUCGGCUCCGGAGGCUUCCGUCUCCGAGAUCUCGGAGGUUCUCGGAGGUAUCCCCGACGGGCAUCGUGCUAAGAAAGGUACGUCCACUGAGAAAGCUCCCGCAAUCUCCGAUUCCUCGUGCCUCGAUUCGAUCUCCAACGCGAACUCCGCGCGGAUCCCCAAAUCUACUGCGGACGAGGGCUGCGUCGGCGGCGGCGGCGGCGGCGGCUCCCAGAUCACGCUGAGCUCCGCGGCGGCGCCGCUGCGCGAUCUCGACCUCGACUCCGAUCUCGCGUGCUCGGAGCAGUUCUCCUCCUCCGACGGCGACGAUGAAGAGAGGAGUCCCUCCUCCACGUGCUCGAUGAUGUGCAAGGAGAUGGCUCUCUCAGAUCUCGAGGAGGAGCUCUUCCCCCUGUGCUCGGAGGGGGAAUGGUCGAGCGAGCUCUCCGAGUGGUCCACGGAGGGCUCCCAACCCUCCGCCUCCUUUUCCCUCUUCCUCCAAUUCGCUCAACAGUUCUCGAGCUCCACCCCCCACAGAAAACUUAGAUCGCCCCCGGGAUCCGAAUCAGAAGAGCACUGUUCCCAGGAAUUCACGGUGAUGAGGUUCGAAGAGGACGACGACGAGGAGAGCUACAAGAGAUUCCGGAGCAGGGAGAGGAAGGAGACCGUGAUGCAGGACUACGGCGUGGUGUACAGCUCAAGGACGGAUUACGGCCACAUGAUCUUGGAACAACGGCUCCUGAUGGUUAACUGGAUGCUCGAGCAUUUUAGGGCAAUGGAGCUCCAGUUGGAGACGUUGUUCUUGGGGGUGGGCAUCAUGGAUCGAUUCCUAAGCAGAGGAUACUUCAAGAGCAUAAGGAACCUGCAGCUGCUGGGAGUGGCUUCGAUCACUCUCUCCACCAGAAUUGAAGAGAACCAGCCCUACAACAGCAGCAUACGGCAGAGAACCUUCAAAGUGGGGAACAACAUCUACAGCAGGAGCGAAGUAGUAGCUAUGGAGUGGGUGAUUCAGGAGGUCCUCGACUUCCAAUGCUUCCUCCCCACAACACACCACUUCCUCUGGUUUUAUUUGAAAGCUGCGGGAGCAGACAGAAAAGUGGAGGACCUGUCAAGGUAUCUGGCUGUUCUUUCCCUUCGUGACCAUGAGAGGCUCUCCUUCUGGCCCUCCACUGUUGCAGCUGGCUUAGUCAUCCUUGCUUGCCUCGCAACCAACCGCGACUCCUCGUGCCAUACGGUCAUGGAGACGCAUGUGAGAACUAAAAAUGAUGAUCUACCAGAAUGCAUAAAGAGCCUCGAGUGGCUGGUCAAGUAUGCGUGUUAGCACUGCAACUCUGAGGUCACUAACUUUUUUUCGCCUCAUAGCUGCAUGGUUUACAAACACUGAUCAGGGGUGUUUUUGCAAUUGUGGCCUUCUAUCUCACCACCCACGCCCCUAGGGCUCUCCCCUGUGCUAAGAUCAGUGGAGACAAGGUAAGAGAAGCUCCUCCUUGCCUUCCAUUUGGAUUUGAUCCCCUUUUAACUUGAAUUUUGGUGGAUUAAACCUCUCUUUUUACUUUUUUUGCUUGUUGGAGGCUUUCCUACCAUUGGAGCUUGGAUUUGAAGCUUGGUUGAGGGAAGAUAUUUAAAGUUUGAGAUCUUUGAACCUUGCUUGAAGCCUCUAAAAGAGCCUUCCACGCCGGGAGAGGCUAGGGACCGCGGAAAGGAUAUUGCCUCGAGUUAGCUGCUUCGAGGGACGCGUCGAUAGGUAGUCUACCUCUCGUUGUUUCCUUUUUGGAGAGGUUGAGAGUUUUACCGAUGUAUAGAGACUACCCCUUUUUGUACCUUCUUGGAGAUGAUUAUUGUACCUCUUUAUGCUUACUUUUAGUAGAUUAUUUUACCUUCCUUCUCUUGUUGUUAGUAUUUAGUUGUUACACUUGCUCUGAUAUCUCUAGUUGUAGAUCAUCUCUUGCUUCUUUUUUCGUUGUUGUUGUAGACGCCUUAUAUGUGCAGACAUAUGGCGGGUCUGGGCGCGCUACCGGGAGGGCCUCUGCCGUCCCUGGGGCGUGACACAUCUUGUAACUAUUUAUCAUGGAAGAGGUUUUAUUUUAAAUGGUUUUAUGAUUUUAGACAUUGAUUAUUAUAAUAAUGAUAGUGGUUCAUUGUUCU